GCAUUAAGUUAUCCGCCUGGGGAGUACGGUCGCAAGAUUAAAACUCAAAGGAAUUGACGGGGGCCUGCACAAGCGGUGGAGCAUGUGGUUUAAUUNGAAGCAACGCGCAGAACCUUACCAGCCUUUGACAUCCUAGGACGGUUUCUGGAGACAGACUCCUUCCCUUCGGGGACCUAGUGACAGGUGCUGCAUGGCUGUCGUCAGCUCGUGUCGUGAGAUGUUGGGUUAAGUCCCGCAACGAGCGCAACCCUCGUCCUUAGUUGCCAUCAUUUAGUUGGGCACUUUAAGGAAACUGCCGGUGAUAAGCCGGAGGAAGGUGGGGAUGACGUCAAGUCCUCAUGGCCCUUACAGGCUGGGCUACACACGUNCUACAAUGGCAUCUACAGUGAGCAGCGAUCCCGCGAGGGUUAGCUAAUCUCCAAAAGAUGUCUCAGUUCGGAUUGUUCUCUGCAACUCGAGACCAUGAAGGCGGAAUCGCUAGUAAUCGCGGAUCAGCAUGCCGCGGUGAAUANGUUCCCAGGCCUUGUACACACCGCCCGUCACACCAUGGGAGUUGGAUUCACCCGAAGGCGGUGCGCUAACCUUUAGGA
This 590-nucleotide ribosomal RNA is filed under the name uncultured bacterium. Its description in RNAcentral is "bacterial SSU rRNA". It matches the Rfam family "Bacterial small subunit ribosomal RNA", at positions 857 to 1447 of the family's 1533-position model. The record is from RNAcentral.